Molecule: ribosomal RNA, 497 nt
Filed under: uncultured bacterium
Lineage: Bacteria
Description: partial 16S ribosomal RNA
Rfam family: Bacterial small subunit ribosomal RNA
Source: RNAcentral
GAUGAACGCUGGCGGCGUGCCUAAUACAUGCAAGUCGAGCGAACAGACGAGGAGCUUGCUCCUCUGACGUUAGCGGCGGACGGGUGAGUAACACGUGUAUAACCUACCUAUAAGACUGGGAUAACUUCGGGAAACCGGAGCUAAUACCGGAUAAUAUAUUGAACCGCAUGGUUCAAUAGUGAAAGACGGUUUUGCUGUCACUUAUAGAUGGAUCCGCGCCGCAUUAGCUAGUUGGUAAGGUAACGGCUUACCAAGGCAACGAUGCGUAGCCGACCUGAGGGGCGGGUAGGCCACAUUGGAGCUGAGACGGGGACCAGGGUCCUAAGAGAGGCAGCAGUAGGGAACGUUAGGCAGCGGGCGAAAGCAUGACGGAGCAGCGCGGAGUGAGUGAUGGCGGCGUCCGGAUCGUAAAGACGUGUUAUGAGGGAAGAACCAAUGUGGCAGGAACUAAGGCGGUAUUGACGGUAACGGGUAAGAAAGCACCGGCUAACUACGUG